RNA transcript from Anguilla rostrata (American eel), 650 nucleotides. It is a transcript of the gene named large ribosomal subunit protein eL33-like, with no coding region annotated. Lineage: Eukaryota; Metazoa; Chordata; Actinopteri; Anguilliformes; Anguillidae. The transcript has 5 exons. The record is from RefSeq and is a predicted model, not a curated record.
CGGUACACACCGCGAUGAGUCCUGAGUUCGUGCACACGCAUAUGUGUGUACUGAUACCACCAGGAUGGCAAAGAUGAUUACUGGAUUUCCUCUGAAACGGAUCGGCUUUUCACAUGCAAGAAUCGCUUCCACCAGCAAAGUUCUGCUGUUGCGCGAUGCGGUGGCUCGCUCCUAGGGUCUCAAAACGACGGGAAGGUGAACCGGCUAUGAAGUAAGGCCAUCUUCGCAGGGGACGAACAUGGGCUGAGGGACCAGCAUGAGCGUGUGGCCCUGGAAGGUGGAGGUGGAGGGGGGUGUAACCAUGCGAUCAGAUGGACUUCUAUCCGGGCACAUGCUGCACCUGCAUCUGCAAGGCCAAAAAACGUGAGCAUCUCAUGAUUCCCCCCCACACUAUGGGACCACCUGCUGUCACCUAUCAGCUCUACAGCAUAUGUGAAUGUGUAGCAGGAACGUGGGGGAAGCCGGGGUCGUCUGGGGGGGGCAAGGCCACGCCUCCCUGCAGCGACAGCGGGAUGAUUUGCGCCAAGUUCAGCAGCAGCCUGCCCACCAAGGCCAUCGGGCACAGGGUUCGAGUGGUGCUGUGCCCAUUGCGGGCGCGACAUUGUGACAUUGUAGCUGUUGUGUGCAAACAAUAAAUGGUCUGGAACACG